RNAcentral lists this ribosomal RNA (497 nucleotides) under uncultured bacterium. Its description in RNAcentral is "partial 16S ribosomal RNA". It matches the Rfam family "Bacterial small subunit ribosomal RNA", at positions 28 to 507 of the family's 1533-position model. The record is from RNAcentral.
GACGAACGCUGGCGGCGUGCCUAAUACAUGCAAGUUGAGCGAUGAAGAUUGGUGCUUGCACCAAUUUGAAGAGCAGCGAACGGGUGAGUAACGCGUGGGGAAUCUGCCUUUGAGCGGGGGACAACAUUUGGAAACGAAUGCUAAUACCGCAUAACAACUUUAAACAUAAGUUUUAAGUUUGAAAGAUGCAAUUGCAUCACUCAAAGAUGAUCCCGCGUUGUAUUAGCUAGUUGGUGAGGUAAAGGCUCACCAAGGCGAUGAUACAUAGCCGACCUGAGAGGGUGGUCGGACGCAUUGGGACGGAGACACGGCCCAAACUCGUACGGGAGGCAGCAGUAGGGAAUCUUCGGCAAUGGACGAAAGUCUGACCGAGCAACGCCGCGUGAGGGAAGAAGGUUUUCGGAUCGUAAAACUCUGUUGGUAGAGAAGAACGUUGGUGAGAGUGGAAAGCUCAUCAAGUGACGGUAACUACCCAGAAAGGGACGGCUAACUACGUG